UAAUGUUCAAAAGUGUGUGUUAGAGUGAGAAUUUGAUGUUGUCAUAGAAGGGAAAAAUGUUCAGCAUGUCAUAAAACAUAAGAAUAAUAGAUGAAGUUUAAUUUCUGAGCUUAGGGAUGAAAAUGUAAAUAUGCAAAAGUUUGGGGGCAAAAUUGUAAUUUUUCAAAAAGUUGAGUGGAUGAUUAUUUUAAUAAAUGUGAACAUUAAAUGAGUUAAAUUUGUUAUUAUAGAUCAAGAAAGAUGAGAAGAAUACCUCAAACGGGGAAAAGAGAAAGUAGUGGAGUAAAUUGCAAAAUCACGAUAUUUUGCACCGAGUGGCAUGGAACUUGGGCGAAGUCAGAUAAUCAUCUACACUAUCAUCAACGCUUGGGUAUUUUGCAACUCAUAUUUUGGAAACAUGGCAUGUAUAGACGACUUUAUGUAUUAUGGCGUAAACAAAUAUAUAGUAUGUUUCGGUUUAAAAUGUUGAUGUUUAUUAUUAGACAAAUUGAGUAUGAUCAUACAACUGUUUUUGGUUG
Long non-coding RNA from Gossypium raimondii (Peruvian cotton), 518 nucleotides. RefSeq lists it as uncharacterized. Lineage: Eukaryota; Viridiplantae; Streptophyta; Magnoliopsida; Malvales; Malvaceae. The record is from RefSeq and is a predicted model, not a curated record. The transcript has 2 exons.